CUCCUACGGGAGGCUGCAGUGGGGAAUAUUGGACAAUGGGCGCAAGCCUGAUCCAGCAAUGCCGCGUGUGUGAAGAAGGCCUUCGGGUUGUAAAGCACUUUUAUCAGGAGCGAAAUCUGCAGGGCUAAUACCCAUGCAGUCUGACGGUACCUGAGGAAUAAGCACCGGCUAACUUCGUGCCAGCAGCCGCGGUAAUACGAAGGGUGCAAGCGUUACUCGGAAUUACUGGGCGUAAAGCGUGAGUAGGUGGUUUCUUAAGUCUGCUGUGAAAGCCCCGGGCUCAACCUGGGAAUUGCAGUGGAUACUGGGAAGCUAGAGUGCGGUAGAGGGUAGUGGAAUUCCCGGUGUAGCGGUGAAAUGCGUAGAGAUCGGGAGGAACACCAGUGGCGAAGGCGGCUACCUGGACCAGCACUGACACUGAGUCACGAAAGCGUGGGGAGCAAACAGGAUUAGAUACCCUGGUAGUCCACGCCCUAAACGAUGCGAACUGGAUGUUGGGUGCAACUUGGCACUCAGUAUCGAAGCUAACGCGUUAA
Molecule: ribosomal RNA, 536 nt
Filed under: uncultured bacterium
Lineage: Bacteria
Description: bacterial SSU rRNA
Rfam family: Bacterial small subunit ribosomal RNA
Source: RNAcentral